Molecule: long non-coding RNA, 1924 nt
Filed under: Mus musculus (house mouse)
Lineage: Eukaryota; Metazoa; Chordata; Mammalia; Rodentia; Muridae
Description: maternally expressed 3
Rfam family: Maternally expressed 3 conserved region 2 (bases 520-621)
Source: RNAcentral
ACAGAAGACGAAGAGCUGGAAUAGAGCUCGCCUCGGCUCUGCUGGCCUUGGCUGCAGCUCUUCCAGAAACCCGGGGCGCCCACAGAAGAAUCUCUUACCUGGCUCUCUCUUCAGGGAUGACAUCAUCGGCUCACACCAGUCUUCCAGGACCACCUUCUGGAUGCCAAGGCUGCUGCUCGAGUACCUGCUGUGCACCUCUACCUCCUGAGCCAAGGAGCACGGAUUCCAGGAACCCACUACCAUACAGAGCAACUCCUUGUGGACCCCCCUGGGAUCAGGACAGCGAGGGACAAGCGACAAAGAGGAUCAUCAGUGGCCAGCUAGUUUCUCUGGGGUUCAAACCUUGAACCAGUGCCCUAGUGAGGGGGCACUGGCCAUGGCCCUUGACCUUUGCUCUGCUUGUGUCUUGAGUCUGAGCCCUUUCCUGUACAUCUGUGCUCGUGUUCAUCUGCUAGUGAACUGGAGUGCUGCCCUCCCCGAGGAGGGUCGUCCCUUGUGACUGAUCAUGCUGUCCUAACAAUGUCCUGAGCAAAAGGGUCCCUUUGGGAACCUCUCAGGAGGGGGACCCGGGUCAGGGGCGACCAGCAUCUUGCUGGCAACUCCGUGGGUGGGGUGGGGUGGGGUGCUUCCUUCUGGAAUGAGCACGUGGCUGACCCCCCAAGGCAUGUCCCCUCCCCCUCCUCCACCCACCUUCUCGGAGAUGUCCCUUUUGGGGUAGUGGGGACAUUAGGAGCAACCUCCUAGGGUUGUUGUGAGAAUUAAAUGAACUGCAGCAGCCUGAGGCAGGGCUGGGCAGAGACCUCAGCACAUGUUUGUUGAAAGGUUUGCAGGUGGAUCUAGUCCUCCCGUUCAUGGCUCAUGUGUCUCAACCAUUCUCUCGCAGACUCCUGCAGCCCCUAUGCCCAGGGCUCUCCUUGCGCCAGAGGUAGGUGGGAAAGAGAACUGGGAGAGCCCGGACUCACUCAUGAGAUUGAACUUAAAUUCACACGGAGGACACUUGGACUCUUGCCACAUUAGCCCCGGCUUCUCGAGGCCUGUCUACACUCGCUGCUUUCCUUCCUCACCUCCAAUUUCCCCUCCAACCCACUGCUUCCUGACUCGCUCUUCUCCAUCGAACGGCUCUCGCUCAGCUGGCAUUGCCCACCGGCCAUGCCGGCUGAAGAAAAGAAGACUGAGGACCCCAGGAUGCCCAGCGCGAGGACCCCAGGAAGCCCAGCGCGAGGACUCCACCCACGACGCCCAGCGCGAGGACUUCACGCACAACACGUUGCAACCCUCCUGGAUUAGGCCAAAGCCAUCAUCUGGAAUCCUGCGUGGGACCCUGGACACACGGACACAGACACCUGCCCCCAGGACCCUCCAACUGUAAAUCGAUUGGAAGCGCCCUUGUGAGCUGGGGCCUUCAAAGGGCUGAGGAGAAAAUGCAGGCCGAGAGACCAGCUUCUCAAAUAGGCUUCAAGCCUCCAUGACCUGAGCUCACCCCCUGGAAAUGUCUGGAAAACAUAAUGGGCAGGUUUUCUGUCUUCAAAGUUUCCAUCAAAACCUCUUCAAGUUCUUUAUUGUUUAGGACUGAGACACUUGGGGACAGUAAUGGGGACUUUCUUUUGUAUCUGUCUUGAAAGGCCAAAAUAUUUUUAUAUUGCUGUAGACAAAGCCACCUAUUUACAAAUGGACUCUUGUUCCGUCGUUUCCCACCAGGAAGACCGUACUAUGUUUGUGUCUCUAUGUAUUCUGGGGUCUUGAAACAGGUUUCUCAUGGGGAUGGCCAUUCACUAGAGCCCAGAGGGGCAGAAGGGGAAGUGUCUACCCUGCCAAGGGGGUCUGGGGAAGGAGGGGGGCUAGUCUCAGAUUUGCUCCUUGUAUGUCUAGGGUAAACCCUGGGAGAAUCUGGUGGUAAAAGAACAUAUGCUGUGUUUGCCCCACA